Molecule: ribosomal RNA, 465 nt
Filed under: uncultured bacterium
Lineage: Bacteria
Description: partial 16S ribosomal RNA
Rfam family: Bacterial small subunit ribosomal RNA
Source: RNAcentral
AAUGAACGUUGGCGGCGUGGAUUAGGCAUGCAAGUCGAGCGAGAACCCCGCAAGGGGGGACCGCGGCGAAAGGGACAGUAAUGUGUAGAUUAUCUGCCCUCAGGUCCGGGAUAGCUGCGGGAAACUGCAGGUAAUACCGGAUAACAUCUCCGGAUCAAAGGUGUGAUUCCGCCUGAGGAUGAGUCUGCAUCCUAUUAGCUAGUUGGUGGGGUAAUGGCCUACCAAGGCAUUGAUGGGUAGCAGGUGUGAGAGCACGACCUGCGUCAUUGGGACUGAGACACUGCCCAGACACCUACGGGUGGCUGCAGUCGAGAAUCUUCGGCAAUGGGCGCAAGCCUGACCGAGCGACGCCGCGUGUGGGAUGAAGGCCUUCGGGUUGUAAACCACUGUCAGAGGGGAUGAAAUGCAGGUGGGUGCUCCCAUCUGUUUGACAUAGCCUCAGAGGAAGGACGGGCUAAGUUCGUG